GACGAACGCUGGCGGCGUGCUUAACACAUGCAAGUCGAGCGGUAAGGCCCUUUCGGGGGUACACGAGCGGCGAACGGGUGAGUAACACGUGGGUGACCUGCCCUCAGCUCUGGGAUAAGCCUGGGAAACCGGGUCUAAUACUGGAUAUGACUCCAUGACGCAUGUUGUGGGGUGGAAAGCCUUGUGCGGCUGAGGAUGGGCCCGCGGCCUAUCAGCUUGUUGGUGGGGUGAGGCCUACCAAGGCGACGACGGGUAGCCGGCCUGAGAGGGCGACCGGCCACACUGGGACUGAGACACGGCCCAGACUCCUACGGGAGGCAGCGGUGGGGAAUCUUGCGCAAUGGGCGAAAGCCUGACGCAGCGACGCCGCGUGAGGGAUGACGGCCUCGG
RNAcentral lists this ribosomal RNA (390 nucleotides) under uncultured bacterium. Its description in RNAcentral is "bacterial SSU rRNA". It matches the Rfam family "Bacterial small subunit ribosomal RNA", at positions 28 to 420 of the family's 1533-position model. The record is from RNAcentral.